GGGACCCGCGCGGCCAGCCAACCGCCUCGCACCUGCCCUCCCCAGCCCCGGGCCAGGCGGCGGGUGGGGGAGGCCCCGACGGAGCCAGCUGUCUGUAAACCUUCCAUUCUCACCGGAACAGCAAGUCCUUCACUGCAGUUUCCACUCCCUGCCCAUUUAUCCCAGUCACCUCCAGCUCUCCCAGAGAGGGACAAGUGGUCAUAAGUCCUUGCUACCAUCCCUCCUUAAAGACUGAAUGCUCCUGAUGGGCAGGAGGGGCCCGUCUAUCCACUAGGCAGCCAGGACACCCAGCACCAGGGUUAGGAUUAGAGAUACCUGAGUGCCGCUUCUGGUUCUGCUGCUCCGAAGCUGUGUGACUUGGAGAAAACUACCUACUCUCCCCUGCUAAUGGGCGUGCCUCUCUACCUGUCUUGCAGAGCAGCUGUGAGAAUUAGGUAAGGUCUUUUCACAAAUACAUGUGAACUAUAUGCAACUCAGCAAUCAGGAAUUGUUCUUUCUCUUGGUAUCCCCACAGCACAGUAACUUGUUGUUAAGCUUCUCAGUAAACAUCUAUUGGGUCGAAGAUGCCUGGCCUGCGCCAGCUUCCAGACUGCAGCUUCCUCAGUUUCAUCCUGGACUGUUUGCAAAAGCAAACUGUGAGUCUGAGAAGCACAGUCACACUCAAGCACAUGGCUUCUGCAAACAGAGGACACAGCUACACCCCACAGGGAAGUCUUUGCUUCUGUACACACUGAUAAUGAUCCCUGUCAAUAAAAAACAUAAUUUACACAAAGAA
Molecule: long non-coding RNA, 775 nt
Organism: Capra hircus (goat)
Lineage: Eukaryota; Metazoa; Chordata; Mammalia; Artiodactyla; Bovidae
Exons: 3
Source: RefSeq, a predicted model, not a curated record